This 253-nucleotide ribosomal RNA is filed under the name uncultured bacterium. RNAcentral's name for it is "partial 16S ribosomal RNA". It matches the Rfam family "Bacterial small subunit ribosomal RNA", at positions 524 to 776 of the family's 1533-position model. The record is from RNAcentral.
UACGUAGGGCGCAAGCGUUGUCCGGAAUUAUUGGGCGUAAAGAGCUCGUAGGCGGCCAGUUGCGUCUGCUGUGAAAUCCCGGGGCUCAACCCCGGGCUUGCAGUGGAUACGGGCUGGCUGGAGGCAGGCAGGGGAGAACGGAAUUCCCGGUGUAGCGGUGAAAUGCGCAGAUAUCGGGAGGAACGCCGGUGGCGAAGGCGGUUCUCUGGGCAUUACCUGACGCUGAGGAGCGAAAGUGUGGGGAGCGAACAGG